RNAcentral lists this long non-coding RNA (437 nucleotides) under Arabidopsis thaliana (thale cress). RNAcentral describes it as "long non-coding RNA (ATHA_LNC000389)". Lineage: Eukaryota; Viridiplantae; Streptophyta; Magnoliopsida; Brassicales; Brassicaceae. The record is from RNAcentral.
AAACGAGGUUCUCUUGGUCAUCGAGGCUUAUAAGACUCUCCGUGACAGAGCUCCUUACCCGGCUAACCACGUUGUUGCUCACCUAAGUGGCGAUUUCGCCUUUGUGGUCUUUGAUAAAUCAACCUCCACUCUGUUUGUAGCCUCUGUAAGUUCUUUUAACCCCCUGAUAAACACUUUUUAAACUGUGAAGUAGAUUGAAUCUAAUGGUAACAAAAAACGGUGUUUGAUUUGCUGCAGGACCAAGUUGGCAAGGUUCCAUUGUAUUGGGGAAUAACAGCUGAUGGCUAUGUGGCAUUUGCUGAUGAUGUUGACUUACUAAAAGGUGCUUGUGGCAAGUCUCUUGCGUCUUUCCCUCAAGGUUCGUUUUUCAGUUUUGUUUGUUCACUCCUAAAUUCAAGAUUUUUGGGGCAUCACCCGCUCAAUGGUUUUGUAUGCGU